CAGCCGCCGCGGUAAUACCGGCCCCGCGAGUGGUCGGGGUGAUUAUUGGGCCUAAAGCGCCCGUAGCCGGCCCGGUGUGUCCUCCCUUAAACCCCCGGGCUCAACCCGGGGAAUGGGGAGGAUACUACCGGGCUAGGGGGCGGGAGAGGCCGAGGGUACUCCCGGGGUAGGGGCGAAAUCCGUUAAUCCCGGGAGGACCACCCGUGGCGAAGGCGCUCGGCUGGAACGCGCCCGACGGUGAGGGGCGAAAGCCGGGGGAGCGAACCGGAUUAGAUACCCGGGUAGUCCCGGCUGUAAACGAUGCGGGCUAGCUGUUGGGUGGGCUUAGAGCCCACCCAGUGGCGCAGGGAAGCCGUUAAGCCCGCCGCCUGGGGAGUACGGCCGCAAGGCUGAAACUUAAAGGAAUUAGGCGGG
RNAcentral lists this ribosomal RNA (414 nucleotides) under uncultured microorganism. RNAcentral's name for it is "bacterial SSU rRNA". It matches the Rfam family "Archaeal small subunit ribosomal RNA", at positions 459 to 873 of the family's 1478-position model. The record is from RNAcentral.